Molecule: ribosomal RNA, 179 nt
Filed under: Methylorubrum podarium
Lineage: Bacteria; Pseudomonadati; Pseudomonadota; Alphaproteobacteria; Hyphomicrobiales; Methylobacteriaceae
Description: partial 16S ribosomal RNA
Source: RNAcentral
GGAAGGANGGGNGCAGCCUGAUCAGCCAUGCCGCGAGGAGUGAUGAAGGCCUUAGGGUUGUAAAGCUCUCUUUGUCNGGGACGAUAAUGACGUGUACCGGAAGAAUAAGCCCCGGCUAACUCCGCGCCACCAGCACGCGGUUAAACNCUGGCUCAUUGCGUCGGAGGAAAAGUAAAUUA